AUACAGGCUGUCCUAGACUUCCUUGUGGCUGAAGUAGCUGGUUAUGUUUUUGUUCUGAAUCUCAAACAUUAAUCUCUUUUAUUAAAAUCCUCUAAAAUACAGUCAUUUUUUCCAUGAAAUAGACCACAAGUUGCUGUGUUUCUUAUUUUCAGAAAUUUAACUUGUUUUUAACCUUUAUUUCUAACUCUGGUGGACUUAGAGGACAUUUGAAUUUAAUCUUGCAAUGUUUGAAGCUUGUGGGAGUAAAAUGUUUAGAAUCUGUGUUUUUAGCACUAACUCUGAUGUUAACACCACCUGCAUCUUUUCCUAGUAAAUGGGGAGCAGGAGAACCGAGUGCAGAAGGGAAAUGGAUAUUUUCAAGUGCCCCCACAUACACCCGUGAUCUUUGGUGAAGCUGGAGGUCGCACACUGUUCAGGCUGCUCUGCCGAGAUUCCGGGGGUGAGACUGAGUCUAUGCUUCUUAAUGAAACAGUGCCACAAUGGGUAAUUGACAUCACUGUGGAUAAAAAUAUGCCCAAAUUCAACAAAAUUCCUUUCUACCUCCAACCUCAUGCAUCUUCAGGAGCAAAAACCU
Molecule: small RNA, 574 nt
Filed under: Pan troglodytes (chimpanzee)
Lineage: Eukaryota; Metazoa; Chordata; Mammalia; Primates; Hominidae
Description: processed transcript
Source: RNAcentral